UCCUACGGGAGGCAGCAGUGGGGAAUUUUGGACAAUGGGGGCAACCCUGAUCCAGCCAUGCCGCGUGAGUGAAGAAGGCCUUCGGGUUGUAAAGCUCUUUCGGCCGGGAAGAAAUCGCGCAGGCUAAUACCCUGUGUGGAUGACGGUACCGGAAUAAGAAGCACCGGCUAACUACGUGCCAGCAGCCGCGGUAAUACGUAGGGUGCGAGCGUUAAUCGGAAUUACUGGGCGUAAAGCGUGCGCAGGCGGUUUCGUAAGACAGAGGUGAAAUCCCCGGGCUCAACCUGGGAACUGCCUUUGUGACUGCGAGGCUAGAGUACGGCAGAGGGGGGUGGAAUUCCACGUGUAGCAGUGAAAUGCGUAGAGAUGUGGAGGAACACCGAUGGCGAAGGCAGCCCCCUGGGCCGAUACUGACGCUCAUGCACGAAAGCGUGGGUAGCAAACAGGAUUAGAUACCCUGGUAGUCCACGCCCUAAACGAUGUCAACUAGGUGUUGGGUGGGUAAAACCAUUUAGUACCGUAGCUAACGCGUGAAGUUGACCGCCUGGGGAGUACGGCCGCAAGGUUAAAACUCAAAGGAAUUGACGGA
Molecule: ribosomal RNA, 589 nt
Filed under: uncultured Dechloromonas sp.
Lineage: Bacteria; Pseudomonadati; Pseudomonadota; Betaproteobacteria; Rhodocyclales; Azonexaceae
Description: bacterial SSU rRNA
Rfam family: Bacterial small subunit ribosomal RNA
Source: RNAcentral